This 473-nucleotide ribosomal RNA is filed under the name uncultured bacterium. Its description in RNAcentral is "bacterial SSU rRNA". It matches the Rfam family "Bacterial small subunit ribosomal RNA", at positions 355 to 825 of the family's 1533-position model. The record is from RNAcentral.
UGGGGAAUCUUGGACAAUGGGCGCAAGCCUGAUCCAGCCAUGCCGCGUGUGUGAAGAAGGUCUUCGGAUUGUAAAGCACUUUAAGUUGGGAGGAAGGGCAGUUACCUAAUACGUAUCUGUUUUGACGUUACCGACAGAAUAAGCACCGGCUAACUCUGUGCCAGCAGCCGCGGUAAUACAGAGGGUGCAAGCGUUAAUCGGAAUUACUGGGCGUAAAGCGCGCGUAGGUGGUUUGUUAAGUUGGAUGUGAAAUCCCCGGGCUCAACCUGGGAACUGCAUUCAAAACUGACAAGCUAGAGUAUGGUAGAGGGUGGUGGAAUUUCCUGUGUAGCGGCGAAAUGCGUAGAUAUAGGAAGGAACACCAGUGGCGAAGGCGACCACCUGGACUGAUACUGACACUGAGGUGCGAAAGCGCGGGGAGCAAACAGGAUUAGAUACCCCCGUAGUCCCUUGAGCGGGCUGGCAAGGCGCAU